GUCCACGCCGUAAACGAUGUCGACUUGGAGGUUGUGCCCUUGAGGCGUGGCUUCCGGAGCUAACGCGUUAAGUCGACCGCCUGGGGAGUACGGCCGCAAGGUUAAACUCAAAUGAAUUGACGGGGCCCGCACAAGCGGUGGAGCAUGUGGUUUAAUUCGAUGCAACGCGAAGAACCUUACCUACUCUUGACAUCCACGGAACUUAGCAGAGAUGCUUUGGUGCCUUCGGGAACCGUGAGACAGGUGCUGCAUGGCUGUCGU
Molecule: ribosomal RNA, 261 nt
Filed under: uncultured bacterium
Lineage: Bacteria
Description: partial 16S ribosomal RNA
Rfam family: Bacterial small subunit ribosomal RNA
Source: RNAcentral